GUACCCUCAAGCUUUGCUUGGUGUUGGGCGUUUUUGUCUCCCUCUUUGCUGGGAGACUCGCCUUAAAACGAUUGGCAGCCGGCCUACUGGUUUCGGAGCGCAGCACAUAUUUUGCGCUCUGUAUCAGGAGAAAAGGACGGUAAUCCAUCAAGACUCUACGAUUUUUAACUU
Molecule: unclassified non-coding RNA, 171 nt
Filed under: Bipolaris sacchari
Lineage: Eukaryota; Fungi; Ascomycota; Dothideomycetes; Pleosporales; Pleosporaceae
Description: Internal transcribed spacer 2
Source: RNAcentral